GAGACUGUGCUUCAGGGAUCUUUUCUAUAGUUUGUGACUAGAGGAAUGUGUCUAUGAAUGAUUGGUCUUGCUAACCAUGAUGAGGAGUUGUAGCAUUUUCUCUGGAGCAUGAAGUGAGUAGGUAGUACUGUUUGUGUACAGCGGCUGCUGGCUCUUGAUGACUGCUCUUCUUCCUUUGGGAAGCUAGAGGGGGAAGGUGUAGACUGAGCGGU
Alligator sinensis (Chinese alligator) is the source of this 212-nucleotide small nucleolar RNA. RefSeq annotates it as small nucleolar RNA U3. The record is from RefSeq and is a predicted model, not a curated record. NCBI's taxonomy places the organism in Eukaryota, Metazoa, Chordata, Crocodylia, Alligatoridae. The transcript has a single exon.